GCCGCCCUCUUUCUUCGUGCUUAACACAUGCAAGUCGAACGGAAAGGCCCUGCUUUUGUGGGGUGCUCGAGUGGCGAACGGGUGAGUAACACGUGAGUAACCUGCCCUUGACUUUGGGAUAACUUCAGGAAACUGGGGCUAAUACCGGAUAGGAGCUCCUGCUGCAGGGUGGGGGUUGGAAAGUUUCGGCGGUUGGGGAUGGACUCGCGGCUUAUCAGCUUGUUGGUGGGGUAGUGGCUUACCAAGGCUUUGACGGGUAGCCGGCCUGAGAGGGUGACCGGCCACAUUGGGACUGAGGUACGGCCCAGACUCCUACGGGAGGCAGCAGUGGGGAAUAUUGCACAAUGGGCGGAAGCCUGAUGCAGAAACGCCGCGUGCGGGAUGACGGCCUUCGGGUUGUAAACCGCUUUCGCCUGUGACGAAGCGUGAGUGACGGUAAUGGGUAAAGAAGCACCGGCUAACUACGUG
This 468-nucleotide ribosomal RNA is filed under the name uncultured bacterium. RNAcentral's name for it is "partial 16S ribosomal RNA". It matches the Rfam family "Bacterial small subunit ribosomal RNA", at positions 36 to 507 of the family's 1533-position model. The record is from RNAcentral.